RNAcentral lists this transfer RNA (83 nucleotides) under Acidiphilium rubrum. It matches the Rfam family "tRNA". From Rfam's summary of the family: Transfer RNA (tRNA) molecules are approximately 80 nucleotides in length. Their secondary structure includes four short double-helical elements and three loops (D, anti-codon, and T loops). The record is from Rfam by way of RNAcentral. RNAcentral also lists the same sequence under 5 other names. Lineage: Bacteria; Pseudomonadati; Pseudomonadota; Alphaproteobacteria; Acetobacterales; Acidocellaceae.
GCCCAGGUGGCGAAAUGGUAGACGCGCAGGCUUCAGGUGCCUGUGGCCGCAAGGCUGUGGAAGUUCGAGUCUUCUCCUGGGCA